GACGAACGCUGGCGGCCGGCCUAACACAUGCAAGUCGAACGGAGUGGCGGACGGGUGAGUAAUGUCUGAGAAUCUGCCUGGUAGUGGGGGAUAACGUCAGGAAACGGGCGCUAAUACCGCAUACUAUCAGAUGAGCCUAGGUCGGAUUAGCUAGUUGGUGGGGUAAAGGCUUACCAAGGCGACGAUCCGGAACUGGUCUGAGAGGAUGAUCAGUCAAACUGGAACUGAGACACGGUCCAGACUCUGACGGGAGGCAGCAGGGGGGAAUAUUGGACAAUGGGCGAAAGCCUGAUGCAGCCAUGCCGCGUGUGUGAAGAAGGUCUUCGGAUUGUAAAGCACUUUAAGUUGGGAGGCGUUACCAACAGAAUAAGCACCGGCUAACUUCGUGCCAGCCGCCGCGGUAAUUC
Molecule: ribosomal RNA, 407 nt
Filed under: uncultured bacterium
Lineage: Bacteria
Description: partial 16S ribosomal RNA
Rfam family: Bacterial small subunit ribosomal RNA
Source: RNAcentral